RNAcentral lists this ribosomal RNA (253 nucleotides) under uncultured bacterium. Its description in RNAcentral is "partial 16S ribosomal RNA". It matches the Rfam family "Bacterial small subunit ribosomal RNA", at positions 524 to 776 of the family's 1533-position model. The record is from RNAcentral.
UACAGAGGGUGCAAGCGUUAAUCGGAAUUACUGGGCGUAAAGCGCGCGUAGGUGGUUCGUUAAGUUGGAUGUGAAAUCCCCGGGCUCAACCUGGGAACUGCAUUCAAAACUGACGAGCUAGAGUAUGGUAGAGGGUGGUGGAAUUUCCUGUGUAGCGGUGAAAUGCGUAGAUAUAGGAAGGAACACCAGUGGCGAAGGCGACCACCCGGACUGAUACUGACACUGAGGUGCGAAAGCGUGGGGAGCAAACAGG